Small nuclear RNA from Onychomys torridus (southern grasshopper mouse), 170 nucleotides. RefSeq annotates it as U1 spliceosomal RNA. The record is from RefSeq and is a predicted model, not a curated record. Lineage: Eukaryota; Metazoa; Chordata; Mammalia; Rodentia; Cricetidae. The transcript has a single exon.
AUACUUACCUGGCAGAGAAGAUACCAUGAUCAUGAAGGUGGCUUUCCCAACAAUGCUUACCCACUGCACUGCAGAUGUGCUGACCCCGAAGUUUCCUCAAAUGUGGGGGGUGGGGAGGGGAAACCUGACUAUAAUUUGUGGUAGAAGGGGAGCAUUUGUGUUCUCCCCUU